AGUCUUAUAGUCAAUAAUGAUAUAAAAUUGCAAAUUUUAAGGAGUAAAUAAAAUAUACUAAGGCUU
This 66-nucleotide transfer RNA is filed under the name Pandesma quenavadi. Its description in RNAcentral is "tRNA-Cys". Lineage: Eukaryota; Metazoa; Arthropoda; Insecta; Lepidoptera; Erebidae. The record is from RNAcentral.